CAGCACCUCAAGUGGUCAGGAUGAUUAUUGGGCCUAAAGCAUCCGUAGCCGGCUCUGUAAGAUUUCGGUUAAAUCUGUAUGCUCAACAUACAGGCUGCCGGGAAUACUGCAGAGCUAGGGAGUGGGAGAGGUAGACGGUACUCGGUAGGAAGGGGUAAAAUCCUUUGAUCUAUUGAUGACCGCCUGUGGCGAAGGCGGUCUACCAGAACACGUCCGACGGUGAGGGAUGAAAGCUGGGGGAGCAAACCGGAUUAGAUACCCGAGUAGUCC
RNAcentral lists this ribosomal RNA (270 nucleotides) under uncultured archaeon. RNAcentral's name for it is "partial 16S ribosomal RNA". It matches the Rfam family "Archaeal small subunit ribosomal RNA", at positions 477 to 747 of the family's 1478-position model. The record is from RNAcentral.